CUGCCACUGAGGGAGGGUUUCUUUCUGGAGAUCCCUCUUUGAUGAAGCUUUUCCCUGUAAACCUCAACUUUUCUGAUACAGAGCCUGUGCUGACAUGUGGAACUACGGAGGUUAAUGCUAGAAUGGAGAUCCCAAUACUACUGAAAAGUGAUGAGAGGAGGUGGGGGGAUCUGUGCCUACUGGAGGCCUUCCAAAGAUCUUUAUAAUUAAAAGAAGCAGCAUGUGGAAAGCUAAAAGCCAUGUAAUCCCUGCAACCCAGCGGAAGUUACAGGAAACUAAGACUGGAGUAUGAUAACAGCAUAACUGGUGCAUGUGGUCCUGGGCUGUAUGCCAAAACAAAGAGGAGAGUGCGGGCAGGGGAAAGUAGGAAUAGCUGGAACGAAAAAGGUCAUGUUCUCAGAACUGUAAAGGGCUGGAUCUCUGGUGUCAAUCAUCUCAGUACCUGGGUCAAAAGAGCUGCCAGUUACCAGCUUAUGGCCUGACACAGCUCAGCUGUAUUGGAUAUAAACAUGUGCAUGGCAGAAAUAAGAAUGUGCCUCUAUUUCUUUUCUGCAAGAAUAAAGGAUGGCACAAAAAAACUCAAGGCAACCUGCAAAGCAAACAAAAUCCUUGAAUUUUACUUGCUAUUUGUUAGUAUUUAACCAUGCAAUCUUCUACUUACAAGAAUAUUUCUGGGAAGAGAAGACUGAAAUCUGUACACUGUGUUUGCAUGACUACUUGCACAUUACUUUGUGUUCUCAGUGUGGUUCAAAUCAUGCAGUGAGCCACAAGUGGAUACUGUAUAGGUUGGGAGAAUGGACAUGAAGUGGUUGGUGACUGAAUUGGCUGCCUUAAAAUUGUCAAUUAACUCAUGCUACCAGAAGUUCAAGUAGUGGAAAAGAAGUUCACUUCUAAACUCAGUCUGAUGUAUUUUUUUUAAAGCAGAAAUUCUAGGAAAAAGUUCAGUGAAGUUCUGUUGUCACAGGCAAUUUCUUACAUAAGAUCUCAAGAUGUUUUGUAAAAUCAAUUAGAACCAUGACUUCGUAGAUGAGCGUGCUCAAAAAAUCUGAACUGCAACUUUUGCAAAUCCAUUUAUGCUCCAUAUCCUUCCCAAUGCAGUUGAUCACUUUUCAGGAUUAGUUCCACUGAAUUAAACAGAAUCAAUUAUAGAAUAAGGAAGUACAGUGUCAUGCAGAGACCUGGGUAAGAUAACGUUGUAGAUGUGUCAAUCGGUUGUGUUUUGCUAAGUAAUGCAAAUGUAAGGGGAUG
RNAcentral lists this long non-coding RNA (1248 nucleotides) under Gallus gallus (chicken). Its description in RNAcentral is "lncRNA (ENSGALG00010023728.1)". The record is from RNAcentral. Lineage: Eukaryota; Metazoa; Chordata; Aves; Galliformes; Phasianidae.